RNAcentral lists this ribosomal RNA (377 nucleotides) under uncultured eukaryote. RNAcentral describes it as "partial 18S ribosomal RNA". It matches the Rfam family "Eukaryotic small subunit ribosomal RNA", at positions 592 to 976 of the family's 1831-position model. The record is from RNAcentral.
CAAUAGCGUAUAUUUAAGUUGCUGCAGUUAAAAAGCUCGUAGUUAGAUUUCGGGUGGGAAUGGCCGGUCCGCCGUUUCGGUGUGCACUUGCUACGCCCACCUUGCUGCCGGGGACGUGCUCUUGAGUUCACGCUCGGGACACGGAGUCGGCGAGGUUACUUUGAGUAAAUUAGAGUGUUCAAAGCAGGCCUACGCUCUGAAUACAUUAGCAUGGAAUAACACGAUAGGACUCUGGCCUAUCUUGUUGGUCUGUAGGACCGGAGUAAUGAUUAAGAGGGACAGUCGGGGGCAUUCGUAUUUCAUUGUCAGAGGUGAAAUUCUUGGAUUUAUGAAAGACGAACUACUGCGAAAGCAUUUGCCAAGGAUGUUUUCAUUAA